Molecule: non-coding RNA, 1361 nt
Organism: Pelobates cultripes (western spadefoot toad)
Lineage: Eukaryota; Metazoa; Chordata; Amphibia; Anura; Pelobatidae
Source: the annotation of a GenBank genome assembly
UUAAAAAUAUAUAUAUAUUAAAAUAAGUUUCAAAUGAACUUACUUUCUUUUGAAGGAAGUGGAUUUUUCUCUUGUGUUUCUGUCUUCUUCAGCUUGUUCUUAUCGAAUUUCUCAAUCUCAGCCAUAUCUGGUUUGUCAGACAUUUUGUUGGAUUAUCUGUACAAAAGAUGAAAAAAGAAAAAGGAAAUGAAAUUAGAGUGUAUUGCAAAAAUAAAAAUUUAACAAAAAAAUUCUCUUUUUUUUGUUACUAGGCAGCCACGCCCUCUCCAAGUUCUACAUUCUGAAGAUAUUUCCUUUUCGCCUCUCCUCUAAAUUCUAUUGUCUGUACACAACUAGAUGCAAUAUAUAUUUAUAAAAUAUAAUAUAAUAAUGGUACUUUUUUCUAUGCAUCGUUAAAAAAAAAAAUGAAAAAAAUGCAAAACACAUAAAUUAUUAUCUGCGUAGAUGGAAAGAAAAAAAUACAAAUAAGUUGAAGCACUACAUAUAAUUAUACCCAUAUCAUUCAGACUUUGCCCUUCUAUUGUCUAGUGAUGUGAUCAAAUCAAUAAGUUGGACCUAUGCCAGAUCAGAGCAGUGUCACUCUAUGCUAAUCAUCAAGCAUACUCAGGGGUCUGCUGCCUCGCUCCCUCCCUGUAGAUGAAGUCAUGCAUUUUUCUCUGUACAAAGAACUGCAGCUAAAAAACCAAGGAGUCUUAAACCACCGCCCUGUUCUGUUUCAGCCCCCGCUCUUCUCCAAUGCAAUUUAACGCAGAACAGAUUUACAAGCACAAAGAAUUUUUUUUUUAUAGAGAAGAAAUCUUUGGAGCUAAACAUCAAAUAGCCAUUUUCAAUCUAGAGGAGAAAAUAGCCAGAUGCCCUAAUAACUGGCAACGCAUGGCUAAUCUCUGGCUUUCACAAAACUGGAUCUUGGAAAGAUUAAAUGUCAAUCUUUAUGUAUUCUUUUUAAAGAAAACAAGUUACAAAAUCAGCGUGCAAAUGAGAUAAGCGCCAAAUAUGCUAUUUUACAUGCAAAUUCUGAGGUAAUCCUCCCAGUAGCAAGGACAAAAGCAACAAAUAUUGCCUGUGGCAAAUUAAAAAAAAAUAUCAAACGGAAGCACCCAGGUUUACAAUGUUGCACACAAUAAGACAUGUUAUGGCAGAUUUCAUAUCUAGCAGCAGGGGAAUAGAAUGUAUACAUUCAGGACUUACCAGGGACUGAGCUCAGAGACAGCACAAUUCCUCACAGAUGCAGCCUUGACUAUGAGGGGAGUGAAUGGAACCAGCUCUUAUAUCAGCUCCUCUAUGCAAAUGACACUGACAACGUCACCCAGUUUGGGCUUAACUCUUUCUCUCCCCUCUAAUCUGCUAGUCAUGAUUCCUGU